GAUGAAGAACGUAGCGAAAUGCGAUAAGUAAUGUGAAUUGCAGAAUUCAGUGAAUCAUCGAAUCUUUGAACGCACAUUGCGCCCGCCAGUAUUCUGGCGGGCAUGCCUGUUCGAGCGUCAUUUCAACCAUCAAGCCCCAGGCUUGUGUUGGGGACCUGUGGCUGCCGCAGGCCCUGAAAACCAGUGGCGGGCUCGCUGUCACACCGGGCGUAGUAGAUUUUAUCUCGCUCAGGGCGUGCUGCGGGUUCCGGCCGUUAAAAAGCCUUUUUUACCCAAGGUUGACCUCGGAUCAGGUAGGAAUACCCGCUGAACUUAAGCAUAUCAAUAAGCGGAGGA
RNAcentral lists this unclassified non-coding RNA (336 nucleotides) under soil metagenome. Its description in RNAcentral is "partial contains 5.8S ribosomal RNA, internal transcribed spacer 2, and large subunit ribosomal RNA". The stretch from base 1 to 120 matches the Rfam family "5.8S ribosomal RNA", at positions 35 to 154 of the family's 154-position model. The record is from RNAcentral.